RNAcentral lists this ribosomal RNA (245 nucleotides) under uncultured bacterium. RNAcentral's name for it is "partial 16S ribosomal RNA". It matches the Rfam family "Bacterial small subunit ribosomal RNA", at positions 524 to 768 of the family's 1533-position model. The record is from RNAcentral.
UACGGAGGAUCCAAGCGUUAUCCGGAUUUAUUAGGUUUAAAGGGUGCGUAGGCGGAAAUCUAAGUCAGUGGUGAAAUCCUACGGCUUAACUGUAGAACUGCCAUUGAUACUGGGUUUCUUGAAUGCGGUUGAGGUAGGCGGAAUGUGUAGUGUAGCGGUGAAAUGCAUAGAUAUUACACAGAACACCGAUUGCGAAGGCAGCUUACUAAACCGUGAUUGACGCUGAGGCACGAAAGCGUGGGGAG